GUAGGUGGCAAGCGUUGUCCGGAAUUAUUGGGCGUAAAGCGCGCGCAGGGCGGUCCUUUAAGUCUGAUGUGAAAAGCCCACGGCUCAACCGUGGAGGGUCAUUGGAAACUGGGGGACUUGAGUACAGAAGAGGAAAGCGGAAUUCCAAGUGUAGCGGUGAAAUGCGUAGAGAUUUGGAGGAACACCAGUGGCGAAGGCGGCUUUCUGGUCUGUAACUGACGCUGAGGCGCGAAAGCGUGGGGAGCAAACAGGAUUAGAUACCCUGGUAGUCCACGCCGUAAACGAUGAGUGCUAAGUGGUUAGGGGGUUUCCGCCCCUUAGUGCUGCAGCUAACGCAUUAAGCACUCCGCCUGGGGAGUACGGCCGCAAGGCUG
This 374-nucleotide ribosomal RNA is filed under the name uncultured organism. RNAcentral's name for it is "partial 16S ribosomal RNA". It matches the Rfam family "Bacterial small subunit ribosomal RNA", at positions 527 to 896 of the family's 1533-position model. The record is from RNAcentral.